Molecule: small RNA, 62 nt
Filed under: Mycolicibacterium frederiksbergense
Lineage: Bacteria; Bacillati; Actinomycetota; Actinomycetes; Mycobacteriales; Mycobacteriaceae
Also listed under: 1 other name
Description: Mycobacterium sRNA Ms_IGR-8
Rfam family: Mycobacterium sRNA Ms_IGR-8
Source: RNAcentral
CCGAGGACUUUCUGCGAACGUGAAGCUGCUGCGGGUUCUCUGAAGAAACUCGCAGCAGCUUU